Molecule: non-coding RNA, 272 nt
Organism: Schizosaccharomyces pombe (fission yeast)
Lineage: Eukaryota; Fungi; Ascomycota; Schizosaccharomycetes; Schizosaccharomycetales; Schizosaccharomycetaceae
Source: the annotation of a GenBank genome assembly
CAAUUUAAGAUCACUGGGGUCAGGAUUUGGCAAUCCACUAAUAUGAACGAGACUCCAAAAAAUAGGAUACCUUGACAGAGUUUGUUUACUGUAUUUAUCUGAGACCGCUACAACGCCGUACCCUCCUUGAUGUUUCCGAACAUAAGAGAUAAUAGAAUGCAACAAAUUAAAAACAUGUCCAAAUUGUACAUACUUGGUACAAAUGUCCUUUUCAAUGUUAAAAAUUGAGCAAACACAUUCAAGCUCAGCCGACGUACGGAGAGGCCAUAAUC